GGCGAACGUUAGCGGCAGGCCUAACACAUGCAAGUCGCGCGAGAAUGGGGCUUCGGCUCCUAGUAAAGCGGCGGACGGGUGAGUAACACGUGGAUAAUCUGCCCUUCGGCGGGGGACAACAGUCCGAAAGGAUUGCUAAUACCGCGUAAGUCGGCGAGGUCUUCGGAUCUUGUCGGGAAAGAUGGCCUCUUCAUGAAAGCUAUCACCGAAGGAUGAGUCCGCGUCCCAUCAGCAGUUGGCGGUGUAAGAGACCACCAAGGCUAAGACGGGUAGCUGGUCUGAGAGGAUGAUCAGCCACACUGGAACUGAGACACGGUCCAGACUCCUACGGGAGGCAGCAGUGGGAAUAUUGGACAAUGGGGCAACCCUGAUCCAGCGACGCCGCGUGGGUGAAGAAGGCCUGCGGGUUGUAAAGCCCUUUCGGUGGGAAGAAAGUCUCGACCUAAUACGUCGGGACCUUGACGUAACCCACUAAAGAAGCACCGGCUAACUCUGUGCCAGCCGCCG
This 507-nucleotide ribosomal RNA is filed under the name uncultured bacterium. Its description in RNAcentral is "bacterial SSU rRNA". It matches the Rfam family "Bacterial small subunit ribosomal RNA", at positions 28 to 517 of the family's 1533-position model. The record is from RNAcentral.